AAUCAACGCUGGCGGCGUGCCUAACACAUGCAAGUCGAACGAGAAGGUGACUUCGGUCACUGGAUAGUGGCGUCCGGGUGAGUAACACGUAGGUAAUCUACCUUCGGGUGGGGAAUAACGUCUCGAAAGAGACGCUAAUACCGCAUAAUGCAGCGGCACCUAAUGGUGAUUAGUUGUUAAAGCGGGGGAGUCUUCGGACCUCGCGCCUGAAGAGGAGCCUGCGGCAGAUUAGCUAGUUGGUGAGGUAAUGGCUCACCAAGGCUUCGAUCUGUAGCUGGUCUGAGAGGACGGCCAGCCACACUGGCACUGACACACGGGCCAGACUCCUACGGGAGGCAGCAGUGGGGAA
RNAcentral lists this ribosomal RNA (349 nucleotides) under uncultured bacterium. Its description in RNAcentral is "bacterial SSU rRNA". It matches the Rfam family "Bacterial small subunit ribosomal RNA", at positions 32 to 361 of the family's 1533-position model. The record is from RNAcentral.